UGGGGAAUAUUGCACAAUGGGCGCAAGCCUGAUGCAGCCAUGCCGCGUGUAUGAAGAAGGCCUUCGGGUUGUAAAGUACUUUCAGCGGGGAGGAAGGUGUUGAGGUUAAUAACCUCAGCAAUUGACGUUACCCGCAGAAGAAGCACCGGCUAACUCCGUGCCAGCAGCCGCGGUAAUACGGAGGGUGCAAGCGUUAAUCGGAAUUACUGGGCGUAAAGCGCACGCAGGCGGUCUGUCAAGUCGGAUGUGAAAUCCCCGGGCUCAACCUGGGAACUGCAUUCGAAACUGGCAGGCUAGAGUCUUGUAGAGGGGGGUAGAAUUCCAGGUGUAGCGGUGAAAUGCGUAGAGAUCUGGAGGAAUACCGGUGGCGAAGGCGGCCCCUGGACAAAGACUGACGCUCAGGUGCGAAAGCGUGGGGAGCAAACA
This 426-nucleotide ribosomal RNA is filed under the name uncultured bacterium. RNAcentral's name for it is "partial 16S ribosomal RNA". It matches the Rfam family "Bacterial small subunit ribosomal RNA", at positions 355 to 774 of the family's 1533-position model. The record is from RNAcentral.